Molecule: small RNA, 213 nt
Filed under: Arabidopsis thaliana (thale cress)
Lineage: Eukaryota; Viridiplantae; Streptophyta; Magnoliopsida; Brassicales; Brassicaceae
Description: ATSL170270
Source: RNAcentral
UGAAUGAUAUUAUAAUUGCGGUGACUGCGUUUUGCGAUGCGGGAGAAGUGCGGUGCGGUUCAAAUAGUAACGAAAAUACAUAGAUACACAUGUAUAUAUAGACAUUUUGAUAUUGUUACAGCACUGUUGCGGUGCGGUUUUGGGUGCGGUCUAUGUCACCAUUCACCAUACAUAUGUAUAUUUUAAUAUACUCUAUCAAUUCACUAUGUAUAC